This 387-nucleotide ribosomal RNA is filed under the name uncultured bacterium. RNAcentral's name for it is "partial 16S ribosomal RNA". It matches the Rfam family "Bacterial small subunit ribosomal RNA", at positions 523 to 918 of the family's 1533-position model. The record is from RNAcentral.
AUACGUAGGGGGCGAGCGUUGUCCGGAAUGAUUGGGCGUAAAGGGCGCGUAGGCGGCCCGGUAAGUCUGGAGUGAAAGUCCUGUUUUUAAGAUGGGAAUUGCUUUGGAUACUGUCGGGCUUGAGUGCAGGAGAGGUAAGUGGAAUUCCCAGUGUAGCGGGGAAAUGCGUAGAGAUUGGGAGGAACACCAGUGGCGAAGGCGACUUACUGGACUGUAACUGACGCUGAGGCGCGAAAGUGUGGGGAGCAAACAGGAUUAGAUACCCUGGUAGUCCACACUGUAAACGAUGAGUACUAAGUGUCGGGUAACCGGUGCUGAAGUUAACACAUUAAGUACUCCGCCUGAGUAGUACGGUCGCAAGGCUGAAACUCAAAUGAAUUGGCGGGG